Suricata suricatta (meerkat) is the source of this 522-nucleotide long non-coding RNA. RefSeq lists it as uncharacterized. The record is from RefSeq and is a predicted model, not a curated record. The transcript has 5 exons. Lineage: Eukaryota; Metazoa; Chordata; Mammalia; Carnivora; Herpestidae.
UUGAUCUCAGAGGUCAAGCUUCAUUUUGGCUUUUUUGCUCUGCUCUACCCUGAUGUACUUGACUUUUUGAACUGUUCCUUCUGGUCCCAGCUGACUGCAUGAGCUCCAGCCAUCACAUCAAUAUUACCAGGAAAAAGGAGAAAAGAAGAGCAUGCUUCCUUUCUUGAAAGGCACUUCCUGAAUUUAGGAGAACUGCUCACUUACAGGAGUGGAGAGGGAGCAGAAGGCUUGAAAGAAGGUCAGCAGAGAAGCUACACAAGAGCCUUCCAUAUGCUAAUGGGAGAAGGAGUAGAGAGCAAGACACUGCUUCCCUGACCCAUGGAACUUACUUUCAUUCUCACAGACAAAGGUGAUCAUGCAAGUCAACUCUGACCAGUGAGAAAAGAGGAAGCAUAUUGGUGAGCGUAUGACUUCUCUGAUAAAAGGAACAGAUACAAGAAAGGAAUUGCUUCAUUAAGAGAAAUAAAAACAUAUCUUCAUGCAAAAAUCUGUACCUGAAUGUUCACAGUAGUCGUAUGCAUA